This 455-nucleotide ribosomal RNA is filed under the name uncultured bacterium. Its description in RNAcentral is "bacterial SSU rRNA". It matches the Rfam family "Bacterial small subunit ribosomal RNA", at positions 340 to 786 of the family's 1533-position model. The record is from RNAcentral.
UACGGAAGGCAGCAGUGGGGAAUAUUGCACAAUGGGCGAAAGCCUGAUGCAGCUAUGCCGCGUGUAUGAAGAAGGCCUUAGGGUUGUAAAGUACUUUCAUCGGGGAGGAAAAAACAAAACUAAUAAUUUUAUUUCUUGACGUUACCCGAAAAAGAAGCACCGGCUAACUCCGUGCCAGCAGCCGCGGUAAUACGGAGGGUGCUAGCGUUAAUCAGAAUUACUGGGCGUAAAGAGCGCGUAGGUGGUUUUUUUAAGUCAGAUGUGAAAUCCCUGGGCUUAACCUAGGAACUGCAUUUUGAAACUGAAAUACUAGAGUAUCGUAGAGGGAGGUAGAAUUCUAGGUGUAGCGGUGAAAUGCGUAGAUAUCUGGAGGAAUACCUGUGGCGAAAGCGGCCUCCUAAACGAAUACUGACACUGAGGUGCGAAAGCUGGGGAGCAAACAGGGAUUAGAUACC